GACGAACGCUGGCGGCGUGCUUAACACAUGCAAGUCGAACGGCAAGACCCUGCUUUUUUGCGGUUCUCGGGUGCCGAACGGGUGCGUAACACGUAAGUAACCUGCUCUUCUCUUUGGGGUAACUUCACGUAGCUAGACCUAAUACCGGAUAGCAGCUCCUCCUCCGGUGUAGGCAUUGGAAAUUUGCGGCGUUUGUGGAUGGACUGGCGGCUUAUGGGCUUGUUGGUGGGGUAGUGGCUUACCAAGGGUUUGACGGGUAGCCCGCCUGAGAGGGUGACCGGGGACCAUGGUACUGAGAGACGGCCCAGAGUGCUAUGGGGGGCAGCAGUGGGGAAUAUUGUACAAUGGGCGGAAGUCUGAUGAAGAAACGCUGGGGUCGGGAAGACCGUCUGUGGGUUGUAAAACGCUUUAGCCUGUGACGAAGCUGGAGUGACGGUAAUGGGUAAAGAAGCACCGGCUAACUACGUG
This 468-nucleotide ribosomal RNA is filed under the name uncultured bacterium. RNAcentral describes it as "partial 16S ribosomal RNA". It matches the Rfam family "Bacterial small subunit ribosomal RNA", at positions 28 to 507 of the family's 1533-position model. The record is from RNAcentral.